UGGGGAAUCUUNCGCAAUGGGCGAAAGCUGACGCAGCAACGCCGCGUGAGGGAGGACGGCCUUCGGGUUGUAAACCUCUUUCGAUACCGACGAAGGCCSUCACGUGUGGGGGUGGACGGUAGGUGUCAAAGAAGCACCGGCUAACUACGUG
RNAcentral lists this ribosomal RNA (151 nucleotides) under uncultured bacterium. Its description in RNAcentral is "partial 16S ribosomal RNA". It matches the Rfam family "Bacterial small subunit ribosomal RNA", at positions 355 to 507 of the family's 1533-position model. The record is from RNAcentral.